This 406-nucleotide ribosomal RNA is filed under the name uncultured bacterium. RNAcentral's name for it is "partial 16S ribosomal RNA". It matches the Rfam family "Bacterial small subunit ribosomal RNA", at positions 28 to 526 of the family's 1533-position model. The record is from RNAcentral.
GACGAACGCUAGCUACAGGCUUAACACAUGCAAGUCGAGGGACCGGCGCACGGGUGAGUAACCCGUAACCAACCUGCCCUUUACUCGGGGCUAGCCUUUCGCAUGAAAGAUUAAUACCCGAUAUAAAGGAUGGGGAUGCGUUCGAUUAGGUUUUUGGUGAGGUAACGGCUCACCAAGACUUCGAUGGAUAGGGGUUCUGAGAGGAAUGUCCCCCGCAUUGGAACUUGGACACGGUCCAACAUCCUACGGGAUGCAGCAGUGAGGAAUAUUGGGCAAUGAGCGCUAGCCUGAACCGGCCAAGUAGCGUGAAGGAUGAAGGGAUAUGGAUCGUAAGCUUCAUUUAUAUAAGAAGAGGUAUUAGAUGAAUAAGGAUCGGCUAACUACGUGCCAGCAGCCGCGGUAAUUC